ACGGGCCAGGCGUAUAGUCCGGUUUCUCCGCGCCGAUCCUAUCCACCUGACCGCUGCACGCCGCGUUUUGUUAGCU
Molecule: small RNA, 76 nt
Filed under: Xanthomonas arboricola
Lineage: Bacteria; Pseudomonadati; Pseudomonadota; Gammaproteobacteria; Lysobacterales; Lysobacteraceae
Also listed under: 2 other names
Description: sX9 sRNA
Rfam family: Xanthomonas sRNA sX9
Source: RNAcentral